UUUUGGACAAUGGACGAAAGUCUGAUCCAGCCAUUCCGCGUGCAGGACGAAGGCCUUCGGGUUGUAAACUGCUUUUGUACAGAACGAAAAAGUUUCUAUUAAUACUAGGAGCUCAUGACGGUACUGUAAGAAUAAGCACCGGCUAACUACGUGCCAGCAGCCGCGGUAAUACGUAGGGUGCAAGCGUUAAUCGGAAUUACUGGGCGUAAAGCGUGCGCAGGCGGUUAUGUAAGACAGAUGUGAAAUCCCCGGGCUCAACCUGGGAACUGCAUUUGUGACUGCAUAGCUGGAGUGCGGCAGAGGGGGAUGGAAUUCCGCGUGUAGCAGUGAAAUGCGUAGAUAUGCGGAGGAACACCGAUGGCGAAGGCAAUCCCCUGGGCCUGCACUGACGCUCAUGCACGAA
Molecule: ribosomal RNA, 403 nt
Filed under: uncultured bacterium
Lineage: Bacteria
Description: bacterial SSU rRNA
Rfam family: Bacterial small subunit ribosomal RNA
Source: RNAcentral